Molecule: ribosomal RNA, 441 nt
Filed under: Triticum aestivum (bread wheat)
Lineage: Eukaryota; Viridiplantae; Streptophyta; Magnoliopsida; Poales; Poaceae
Description: partial small subunit ribosomal RNA
Source: RNAcentral
AUGGAACAUAACAAAGCUCCAGGCCCUGAUGGUUUCCCCGCAGAAUUCUAUCAGAAUUUCUGGGAUAUCAUCAAGUCUGACCUUUUGGAGUUGUUCAAUUGUUUUCAUGCCGACCGACUUGACCUAUUCAGACUUAAUUUUGGCGAGAUUGUCUUGUUGCUGAAGAUUGAGGAGGCCGAACGGAUUCAACAGUUCAGACCCAUAUGCCUCCAUAAUGUCAGCUUCAAGAUUUUCACCAAAGUGAACAUGAGUGGAGUAGUAUUCAAAAUAGACUUUGAAAAAGCCUAUGACAAGGUCAAAUGGUCUUUCCUCCAACAGGCCCUAAGGAUGAAAGGCUUCUCCGAUAAACGGUGCAAGUGGAUCCACAAUUUUGUAACUGGAGGUAGUGUGGCCAUCAAAGUCAAUGAUGAUGUCGGCCAUUACUUUCAGACAAAAAAAUGA